RNA transcript from Mus musculus (house mouse), 10047 nucleotides. It is a transcript of the gene named IWS1, SUPT6 interacting protein, with no coding region annotated. The record is from RefSeq and is marked validated. Lineage: Eukaryota; Metazoa; Chordata; Mammalia; Rodentia; Muridae. The transcript is spliced from 14 exons.
UAUAAGGACUAGUCAGUCAUCUUUAUUACCUUAUCUUAUUUUUAACUUUCUGGGCGAAGGGAAUCCAACCUUUGAACUACAAGUCCCAGAGAACAACUCGCUACUUUCUUUCUAAACUAUGGGCGGGAAUUGGAACUACAGUUAUUUGGCUGAAUGUUAAAAUGUAAUUUUAGCGAGUUUUCAUUUUUUCCCAAGAACUAAAAUGUUUUUCAAGGCAAGCCCGAACUCAGAGCCAAGGGAGUAACAUUACUCCUCCUGGCGACAGACCAAACCCGGCCGAGGCCGGUAUUUAACUAGAGCCGAACUUCCCGCGUCCACUCAGUUCUCCCGGCAGUCUCUGUCCCGGCGGUGCCAUGGCGUCAUAUUACCAUAGCGUAUCCUGAUUGGCCGACAGCAGGGUGACGGCGCCUGCGCAUUGCAUUUCUCUGAGGGCCGUGGGUAGACGCCAUUUUGGCCCCAGAGGUGCUUCUGGGAAGUUGAGCGCGAUUCUUGGUUUUGCCGGCCGGUGAGGCACGGCCCUGUGGAGUAGCUGGCGUGAAGCGUCGGCGUCCGCCGCCGCCGACCUCUCCGGAGUCUCGGGCGAGGCAGAAGCGCGCCGCGGCGGAGAGAGGUCACUCGGCCAGGAAGGACGUGACGGGGGCGGCGCGUGGCGCGGACACUCCCCGCCGAGAGCCCGCCUGCCAUGGACUCGGAGUACUACAGCGGGGACCAGUCAGAUGAUGGUGGUGCAACCCCAGUACAGGACGAGCGGGAUUCAGGGUCAGAUGGUGAGGAUGGUGUAACCGAGCAGCACUCCGGAUCCGACACUGGAAGUGUAGACCACCACUCAGAGAAUGAAACUAGUGAUAGAGAAGAUGGCUUGGCCAAGAUACAUAAUGGAACAGACUCUGAGAAUGAUGAACCUUCCAAUGCUAAUGCCAGUGACUCUGAAAGUGAGGAGCUUCACAGGCCAAAGGACAGUGACUCUGACUCUGAGGAGCAUGCAGAGUCUCCUGCUAGUGAUUCUGAAAAUGAACCUGUCAACCAACAUGGGAGCGACUCUGAAAAUGAAGAGCUGCUUAAUGGGCAUGCCAGUGACUCUGAAAAGGAAGAGGUUAGCAAGCAUGCCGCCAGUGACUCUGAAGCUGAGGACACUCUGCAGCCUCAGGUCAGCGAGUCUGACAGUGAAGAUCCCCCAAGGCCCCAGGCCAGUGACUCAGAAAAUGAGGAGCCUCCCAAACCUCGGAUAAGUGACUCGGAGAGUGAGGAGCUCCCCAAACCCCGAGUCAGUGACUCAGAAAGUGAGGACCCUCCAAGGCCCCAGGCCAGUGACUCAGAAAGCGAGGAGCUCCCCAAACCCCGAGUCAGCGACUCUGAAAGUGAGGACCCUCCAAGGCCCCAGGCCAGUGACUCAGAAAGCGAGGAGCUCCCCAAACCCCGAGUCAGCGACUCGGAAAGUGAGGACCCUCAGAAAGGACCUGCUAGUGAUUCUGAAGCUGAGGAUGCCUCCAGACACAAAGAGAAGCCAGACUCAGAUGACAGUGAUGGGGAGAAUAAGAGGGAAGAUUCUGAAGUGCAGAAUGAGUCAGAUGGCCAUACAGACAGAAAAGGACUCCACAGCUCUGACAGCGAGGAGGAAGAACCCAAAAGGCAAAAAAUUGACAGUGAUGAUGAUGAAGAAAAGGAGGGGGAUGAGGAGAAAGUAGCAAAGCGGAAGGCUGCUGUGCUUUCUGAUAGUGAGGAUGACGCAGGCAACGCAUCAGCAAAGAAGAGUCGAGUUGUCUGUGAUGCUGAUGACUCUGAUAGUGAUGUUGUAUCGGACAAGUCAGGCAAACGAGAGACAACAGUAGCAUCUGACAGUGAAGAAGAAGCCGGGAAAGAAGAGUCUUCUGUGAAGAAGAAGGAAGACAAGGACCUGUUUGGGAGUGACAGUGAGUCCGGCAAUGAAGAAGAAAAUCUUAUUGCAGAUAUAUUUGGAGAAUCUGGUGAUGAAGAGGAAGAGGAAUUUACGGGUUUUAACCAAGAAGAUUUGGAGGAAGAGAAAAACGAAACACAGCUAAAGGAAGCAGAAGAUUCUGAUUCUGAUGAUAACAUAAAGAGAGGCAAGCAUAUGGACUUUCUGUCAGAUUUUGAGAUGAUGUUACAACGAAAAAAAAGCAUGUGUGGCAAACGCAGACGAAAUCGAGAUGGGGGCACUUUUAUUAGUGAUGCAGAUGAUGUUGUGAGCGCCAUGAUUGUCAAGAUGAAUGAAGCUGCUGAGGAAGACAGACAAUUGAAUAAUCAAAAAAAGCCAGCUCUGAAAAAAUUAACCUUAUUGCCUACUGUGGUUAUGCACCUUAAAAAGCAGGACCUUAAAGAAACAUUUAUUGACAGUGGUGUGAUGUCUGCCAUUAAAGAAUGGCUCUCACCUCUACCAGAUAGGAGUUUGCCUGCACUGAAGAUUCGGGAGGAAUUGUUAAAGAUUCUGCAAGAGCUACCUAGUGUGAGCCAAGAGACCCUGAAGCAUAGUGGGAUUGGCCGAGCAGUGAUGUAUCUGUAUAAACACCCUAAGGAAUCAAGGUCCAACAAGGAUAUGGCAGGGAAGCUCAUCAAUGAGUGGUCUCGGCCCAUAUUUGGUCUUACCUCAAACUAUAAAGGAAUGACAAGAGAAGAAAGGGAACAGAGAGAUCUAGAACAAAUGCCACAGCGACGAAGAUUGAGCAGGUAUGAGGGAACAGCACUGGUGGUCAGACACCACGAAGAGACCUGGAGAAGGUCCUAACAGGAGAAGAAAAGGCUCUUAGACCUGGAGAUCCUGGCUUCUGUGCCCGUGCAAGAGUCCCAAUGCCAUCAAACAAGGACUAUGUUGUCAGGCCCAAGUGGAAUGUAGAAAUGGAGUCAUCCAGGUUUCAGGCAUCCUCCAAGAAAGGUAUCAGUCGACUGGAUAAACAGAUGAGAAAGUUCACAGAUAUCAGGAAAAAAAGCAGAUCUGCACAUGCAGUGAAAAUCAGCAUCGAGGGCAAUAAAAUGCCAUUGUGAUCUUGCCUGGGACGUGUCCCCAUCUCUAAAAGAAAGAAAUGCACAGUGGACUAUGGAGAAAGAAGAUAAUUUUAAAUGUCUUAGUGUGUCUCUAAAUGGUUCGAUUUGUAUCAUCUGUUGUUGUAGGACUAACAUUUCUCUCCGUUGUAUUUAAGACCAGUUGUCUGCUUUGUACAGAAGAGUACUUACUACUCCUGCUUCUAUCAACUGUACGUAAUAAAAUUUCAUUAUGGUUUUGGGGGGUUGUCUCAUCAUUGUCUUAGACACUAUUCUCUGUGAGAUCAAAAGCCAGUCCGUUUCAGUGUGUAAGUAUGAUAUGAGGAAUUUGUCUGGCCUUUGUUCCUGGCUCCUGACAAGGAAUAUCUCAAACCUUUACAAUUCUUGAACUAUCUUUGUUAUACUCUUGAUUUGGCACAUCGUAGGGCCCUAAGUUCGCUCUAAGACUGGUCAGCAGAAAUAUGCUUGACCUAGUCGUAUUGCCUGUUUGAUUAACCAGCCAUACCUUUGUAUUGAAGCUAUAGUAAAGAAAAGAACUCUGGACAAGUCAGGUGCCUUGCACACCUAUAAUCCCAGCAUUUUGGAGACUGAUGUUGAAAUAAGAGGGUCAUGAGUUUGAGGCUAGCCUGGAUUACAUGGCAAGACUCUUAACUGCUCUGGAUACUGCAACUAUGUUGAUGUGCAAAGAGAACAAAGGCACAGAAGCUCUGCACCACCCUCCAUACUACUCCUGAAUCUUCAUUGACCUGGUUGGCUUAAUUUGUAUCUUUUCUAAUAAGAUCAGUUAUAAGUAUAACCUUUUAUUGAAAGACAUAGUGCUUUUCCAAGUUCUAUGAGUCAUUCAGCAGGUUUUUAAACCAAGAAAUUCUUGGGAACUUGCCUGGAAGUUUAUAGCUACCCUGGAAUUUUCAUGGUCUAAAGAUAUCACUUGCAGUCUAUGUCUGAAGUUGGGACAGUCUUGUGGAGGAAAUCUGAUCCCUAGAACUGUCAAUUCUUACACUAACACCGAGCAUUUGGUAUCAGAAUUGUGUUGUAUACCACUGUAUAUGCCUAUAAUCUCAGCACUUUGGAGGCAGAGGCAGGAAUUUUGGGAGCUCUUCCAACAAUAACUUUGAGUUACUCAAAGACUGUUCAAAUAAAGAUGGUAUCUCAGUAGAGUUGGAAAUACAACAAGCAUACUUUUUAUUUCUCUUGUUAGAGAUGCUUUGUUUGUUUAAAUCUGAAGAGUUAAGCUGUGGGGAGAAAAAGUUAAGAAAAUACAGAUAUAAUUGAAAAUUAGUUACAUAUAGCAAUUGGACAAAUAGAAAAAGGAGAAACUAUUUAUAGUUUCUUACUUGGUUUUGAGAAUUCUUAAUCAUGAGAGAUUUCUAUAGAUCAAGAAAGUUUUAUCAGUAACUCAUUCAUUACUUAAGUCCUCUUCUAGUACAAACUGGAGCCUUGAUUUAAAAAAAUAGAUUAUUAUUGGCCACAAUGGCCUUUGGACAAUUGAAGGAAUGUGGACUUCAUGGACUAGAACACUCCAUAAGAACCUCUCAAGCCUGGUGUGGUGACACACACCUUUAAUCUCAGCAUUUGGGAGGGAGAAGAAGGCUGACCUCUGAGUUCAUGACCAGCCUGGCCUACAGAGUGAGUUCCAGGACAGCCAGGGCUACACAGAGAAACCCUGUCUUUUAAAAAGAGAGAGAGAAAAAAGAAAAGAGCCUCAUAAAGCCUCAUUAAAGUACACUCAGCAUGCAAGAGCAAAUGGAGUGUGAAGCAGAAACCUACAGAGCCAACAGUUACAGACUAGGUGGUGGCAAAAACUACCUCUGGCUUUGUUUAAUUUCAUUAACUAAAAACAAUAAAAGCAUCUAAUGAAUUCAAAACAGUUCUGACAUGUAAAGCAAGUUUUUAAGAGUUAUUUUGGUGUCUUGGGAUGAGCUUCACGUAACACCAUGUUAAUGGGAGUAAAUAUAACCAGCAGGUGAUAAGCCCUUGAUUGAAGGAGAUGGUUCUGCACUACUUGAAGGGAAAGAUGCUAAUUUCUUUAUAAAUUACCUUUGCUGUGUGGAUUGGGGGGGGGGGGUCCCCAAGCUUGACCCAUUCAUUGCCUUCAUAGUUUCCAUUUACUAUAGUUUCUAGAACACUAAAAUUAGCUCCCAUUUACCCUUCAAUAUUUUUCAGUGUGCCACAUUUUAUAUUCUAUAUCCAAGAUUUCUUUUGCAGAGCAUGUGAGUAUAGUUUAUCAAGAACCUUUGUUCUCAAGCUCCAUAUCUAAGCAUAUUUCUCUUAAAAACAUGUUUUGUGGCGGGGCAGUGCACAUCUUUAAUGCCUGCAUUCGGGAAGCAGAGGCAGGUGGAUCUCUUGAGUUUGAGGCCAUCCUGCUUUGAUUGCAUUUUAGGUCAGCAAGAGCUACACAGAGAAACCCUGUCUGAGAAUAGAAACAACCCAUGGUUUUUAGGGGCUAGAUCAUACAGCUCUGUUGGUAGAGUGCUUGCCUAGCACGCACUAAGUCUGGGUUCCAUCCCCAGUACCACAAAUAUCUGGCCUGUCACCUUGCCAACCUGGCCUGGCUACAUGGCAAGAACAAAGCCAGCCUGGGCUACUUGACAGUUCGUCUCAAGAUUGGCCACAUUAACUUUGACCUCUUGUAUGGAAUGCUGGGUAGUCACUUUUUGGUUUGGGUUGUUUUUUGGUUUGUUUGUAAAAUGCUUUAAUUUUGGCAAAAGAUUUGUAUCUUUACCACUUUUAACCAUACAGCUUAGGUGCAUUGACUGGGUUCACAGUGGUAUGAGCCACCUUCAUCUUACAAACUUUAGCUGUACUGGGCACAGUAGUGCACGUUUUUAAUCCCAGCACUAAGCAGACAGAAGCAGGACAAUUUCAGAGUUCAAAGUCAUCCUAGUCUUUAUAGAGAGUUCCAGACCAGUUAAGACUUGCAUAGAUCCUGCCUCAAACAACAAACACCUUAGCUCCUUCCACCAGCUCUUGACAAGUUCAUUCUGCUUUCUGCCUCUGAUUUAGACUAUUCUAGGAACCUAGAAUUUAAUUUAUGGGGGGAGGGGAACCAUGGUAUGCAUAUGGAAAAUCACAAUUUUAUGGAGUUCUUGCCUUCGACCUUUAUUUACUUGGAUUCUAAGGAUGAGACAGGUUGCAAGACUUUAGUGGCAAGGAUUUUGACCAUUUGAGCUAUCUCACCAGCCUGUUUCUAUGUAUAGGUGAUAAUGCUUUGCCUUGUGCUUUUUUAAGUGACUUUUGUAACUUUGGCCCUACUGUUAAGUCUGAUCCAUUUGAGAUAAUUUUAUGUUGUAGAAAGUUUACUUUUAUUUCUGUACAUCUUUGUUGAAAGACUGACCCUUACUGCUCUUGGAUCCCUUAUCAAAACGUAUCUGACAGUAUGAGGGUUUUCUUGUAUAUUUUGCUCCAGACUUUUAGUUCAUUUUGUUUUGUUUUAUCCUCAUUAUCCUGUUUUUACUUCAGGAACUUUAUAGUAAAAUUUGAAGUCAAGUAAUAUGAUUUAUUCACUCCAGUAUUGUUUUGGUUGUUGGGAUUCCUUGAAAUGAAGGGGAAAGUGUGUAUGAAUAUGUACGUGCCUGCCCCACAGCUGCAUGUGGACGUCAGAAGACAACUUUCAGGAAUAGGUUCUUCUUCCCCCUGAGUUAUGUGGCUUGCACUGCCCACACUUUUACCUGAAGAGCCAUCCUUCUGGGCCCCUCCACUUUUCCAUUCGAUAUGUUUGGACUCUGGGCUUCUUUGAGGUUUUGUAUGACUUGUCUGUAUAGCUGUCAUUGGGUUUUCAACAGAGAUUGGGUUACAUUUGCCUUUUGAGGAAGUCCUGAGUUUUAACAAUGUUAAGUCUUAUGGUUCUUAAACAGAACUGUCUUUCCAUUUAGAGUCCAUGGUUGAAUUUAUUCCUAAGUAUAUUAAUUCCUUGUGAUGUUGUUAUAAAUUGUUCUAUUUUCCUAAUUUUCAUUUAGGAUCAUUGUUCAUGAACAAAUGCAACUGGCAAUUUUACCUCUUCCUUUCCAUUUGGAUACCUCUCACUUCUUCCUCUUGCCUGAUUGUUAGAAUUUAGUAUUGGGAGAAUACUAGUGAUGAAAUGGGCAUCCUGGUUUUAUGGGACUAAAGAAAGGGCUUUGUCUCUCUUCACUGAGUAUAAUGUGGGACCUUCAUGUAUGGCUUUUACAUUGUUGACCUUCCUUCUACUUUUAAUUUAUUCAGUUUUUAUUACGACAAUAUUUGAAUUUUAUGAAAUGAUUUUUCUGUAUCCUUUGAAAUCACUGGUUUUUCUUUCAUCUUGGUAGUGUAUAUUUCACUGAUGUAUGUAUGUAUGUAUGUAUGUAUGCAUUUUUUAAAUUAUACAGAUGUACAUAUGCACAAGUGUCUGUCGGUGCAUACAUGCACACUGUUGUGGAGGUCAAAGGACAACCCUCUGGCAUCAUCCACCUUGUUUUUAGAGUCAGGAUCUCUGACUGUCCUGGAACUCUCUAAUUAGGUUUUAUUCUUCAGAUGUGUACCAUCACAUGACUUUCCACAGAUCCUGGGGACUAAACAUGAGUCUUCCUGCUUGCAAGGCAAUCUACUUUUACCAACUAAGCUCUCUCCAACCUAUCAGAUUUCUGUCAUUGUUACUCUGUUAAGUCAUCCUAACACUGUCAGUAAAUCCUUCUUGAUCAUGACAUAGUAUCUAAUACUUUUUGAAUUAGAUACUUUUUGAAAAGCUUUAUUUUUAUUUUACAUGUGUGAAUGUUUACCUGCAUACCUGUAUGUCUAUGUGUGCCUGGUACCCAUAGAGAUCAUCAGAGGGCAUUAGUCUCCUGGGACUAGAGUUAACAGGAUGGUCGUCAUCUGCCAUGCAGGUACUAGGAACUGAACCUAGGAUCCUCUGCAAGAACAACCAGUUCUCUGAACCACUGAGCCAUCUCUUCAACCCUACAUAAUCCUUUAAGGUGUUGUUGAAUUCUGUUUGCUAGUAAUUUUUAAAUUUUACAUUUAGUGUGUUUGUGUAUCAGAGGACACCUUGAGUCACUUCUACCAUGUGGGUUUUGAGGGUCAAACUCAGGUUGCCAGACUUGGCGGCUGAGCAUCUCCUUGGCCCACAUCAGGCUUUUUAGUUGUCAGUUUGCUAUGGUUUUGGCAGUGCUUGUUUGGUUUUGGUAAAGGGUAAUGCUGAUAUUUUGGAAAUGCUCCCUCCAUUUUUAAGUUUUCAGAAUAAUUUGUCAGGAUUAAUUUUAAUUUGGUCAGGCAUGGUGAUGCAUGCCUUUAAUCCCAACAUUCGAGAGGCAGGAGGAUGUCUGAGUUUGAGGCCAACCUGGUCUGUGUGGCAGCUCCAAGUCACCCAAGGCUAUAUGGUGAGAACCUGUCUCAAAAAACAAACGAACAAGCAAACAAACAAACAAACAAGACCCCCCCCAAAAAAGGCAGGGCAGAGGAAUAGUGUUAGUUGUUUAGAUGGUUGGUAGAAUAGACUGUUCAAGCUACCUGGACUGGGCUUUCCUUUCCUGGGAAGAUUUGGGUAGUAGAUGUAAUCUCACUAGAGGUCUGCCUAUUUAAAUUUUUUUUUGGUUUUUGGUUUUUGUUUGUUUGUUUUUGUUUUUUUGAGACAGGGUUUCUCUCUAUAGCCCUGGCUGUCCUGGAACUCACUUUGUAGACCAGGCUGGCCUCGAACUCAGAAAUCCGCCUGCCUCUGGCUCCUGAGUGCUGGGAUUAAAGGUGUGCACCACCACGCCCGGUAUUUUUUUUUUCUAUUUAAAUUUUUAAUUCUUCAUGAAUCAAAGUUGGUGGUUUUUCUCUUUUGUCUUUACCUAAUGGUUAUGUUGAUGCAAUACAGUUUACAGUGCUUUGUACUUCUUAUUCUUACAAAACUAGCCAUGAUGUCCUAACCCUUUUAAAGGUACAUCACUGUGUGUAUUUACAGUCACUUGUGUGCAAGUGUGUGCACAUAGAUGUGUGUGGAGGCGUAAAGUUAACGUCUCAUCUUUUAUCUCUAUUUAUUGAUUAGUCUCUCAGUUGAAUACAGAGCUCCUGAAUGGCUAGGUAUGUGCCCUAGGAAUCCCCCACCUCUGCCUCUUUAAAGUCCUGGGAUUUAUAGAGAGCCCCCACCCCUGCCUAGCCUUUUCACUUUCCAGGUGGAGUUCUGGGGAUCUGAGCUCUGGUUUCCUGAUUGCAUAGGAAGCACUUUAUCUACUGAGCCAUCUCCCCAUUGUCCUCAUUUUGAUUUUUUUCCCCCUUUCCUAGCCAGUCUACCUGAAGGUUUUAUCAGUUUUGAGAUUUUAAAGACAGUCUUUGGGUUCUGGAUUUGUUUGUGGUUUUAGUUUUUUGCUUGUUUGUUUGGUUUUGUUUUGUUUUUAGUUUCCUCUGCUCUGACCUGUCUACUUGUUCUUUUCCUUGUUCAUUGAAGAGUAAAGUUAGGCUGUUGAGGACUGUGCUGCAUAGCUGUGAAUUUGAGCAUUGCUUUUGUCAUAGCACAAUACGUCUGGUAGUUUGUGCAUUUGUUUCAGGGAGUGUUCCAGUUUUCCUGGUGGUUUCUUCUUUCAACCAGUAGUUGUUUAAAAAUGCCUUAUUUAUUUUACAUAUAUUUGUGGGUUUUGUAAUUUUACUUAAUAUGUUAAGGCUCUUUGUGGCUUUGAUAUAUCCCCCAAAGUAUGUAUUCUUCUAAGCUGUAUGCUCUAUUAGGGGAUUAAAUCCAUUGACAAAGUGACUGCUGUGACUGCUAAAGGAAAGGGAUCACUUGCCAUUUUGUUGUUUUCUGUGUCUUACAGUUUUGGGUCCUUCAUUUCUUCUCUUACUGUUUGUUUGUGUGUGGUUUAUAUUUAUAGUGGCUUGUGUGAUUUACUUUAAUUUCUUUUUGUGUAUAUUGUUUAUGUGAUUUUUAUGAGGCUUACUUGAAACAUCCUAAAGCUUCAACAAUCUAAACAUAUUUCAAUCACAUGCAAAGCUUCUUUAUAGCUGUAUCCCUCUUUUUUACAUUAUCAAUGUCACAAAUAACAUGUGAGUCCAAUAACAAGUUUAUAACUUUUUAUGCUUUUCUAUUUUAAAUACUGUUGAAUAAAAAACAGUUGUGAACCAAAAUUA